RNAcentral lists this ribosomal RNA (412 nucleotides) under Escherichia coli. RNAcentral's name for it is "bacterial SSU rRNA". It matches the Rfam family "Bacterial small subunit ribosomal RNA", at positions 993 to 1405 of the family's 1533-position model. Lineage: Bacteria; Pseudomonadati; Pseudomonadota; Gammaproteobacteria; Enterobacterales; Enterobacteriaceae. The record is from RNAcentral.
GAAGUUUUCAGAGAUGAGAAUGUGCCUUCGGGAACCGUGAGACAGGUGCUGCAUGGCUGUCGUCAGCUCGUGUUGUGAAAUGUUGGGUUAAGUCCCGCAACGAGCGCAACCCUUAUCCUUUGUUGCCAGCGGUCCGGCCGGGAACUCAAAGGAGACUGCCAGUGAUAAACUGGAGGAAGGUGGGGAUGACGUCAAGUCAUCAUGGCCCUUACGACCAGGGCUACACACGUGCUACAAUGGCGCAUACAAAGAGAAGCGACCUCGCGAGAGCAAGCGGACCUCAUAAAGUGCGUCGUAGUCCGGAUUGGAGUCUGCAACUCGACUCCAUGAAGUCGGAAUCGCUAGUAAUCGUGGAUCAGAAUGCCACGGUGAAUACGUUCCCGGGCCUUGUACACACCGCCCGUCACACCAU